RNAcentral lists this long non-coding RNA (1638 nucleotides) under Aquilegia coerulea. Its description in RNAcentral is "long non-coding RNA (ACOE_LNC000004)". Lineage: Eukaryota; Viridiplantae; Streptophyta; Magnoliopsida; Ranunculales; Ranunculaceae. The record is from RNAcentral.
AUGUACACUCACGGCCUCUGCUGUCACAUCAUCACACCACAUGAGUGCCUUGUCGUCUAUACCAACAAUCAACGAAGUUUAAGAUUUUGUUUGAUCUUGUCUACAAGAAUCAAUGUCUAAUCAUCCUUACCUUGUACGUUUGUAUCCACUUUACCUUCAGAGUGGUGUUUUGUCACGGUGUGUGCUCUCGACCGUAGUCGGCUUUCGAUAGUGUAGUUGAAAAGGAAUUAACAUUAUUCUAUGUUUAAUGUUUGGGGGCAAUCAAGCUUGUUCUCUUCAAAGGCUAAUUAGUUCAACAGCAUGACUCUAGAUAAGAGGAGUUGUAUGCCCCAAAAAAAAGUUGUUUCAGCAUUGUUAAAAUUUCUGUGUAGAUCCUUUUGAGUUACUUUUACUAUACCCUUUACUUGUUUGUAGUUGUAUGUUACCAAGUUUAUCAAUAAACCAGCUGUUCUCACUUACUUAGUGAGCCUUUCUAGAAAAAUUGCUUUUUUUGAAUGACCGUGGUGUUCUUUUCUUCCUUUCUUCCCAUAAGAAAAAUGGAUAUUUUAUGGACUUGUAAUUUCCCUAUGCAGGACCUUAUAUUGGUUUGUCUUUGGUCUCUUGUUCACAAAGAUGGGAGCUGGUAAGUUUUUUGCUUUGUAUGUUGGAUUGUGAUUCUUGUUUGCUAUUUUUUUCACAUUUAUCAUCCAUUCAUCCUAUUUUAUGAUGAAGGCUAACUGAAACAAUAUCAUGUCCAUAGAUUUACCAUCUUCAAAUUGCAAUCAAAAUUGCAAACUGAAUAUAUUCAUAGGAUUUUAGUGAUUCAUAGGGUCGAAAUCUUGGCAUAUUCCAGUUUUAAUUCUGGAAACAGAAUUUUGCUAAAUGACAGUACGUAUUUGUUCUAUAUGAUCAUGUAACUUUUUUUAGCUAGCAAUUUUCAGUAUGCUUAUGUGCAGAAGUUGCUUGAACUGACAUGUUGGUAUGAAAUUUCUUGUUGAUAUACAGGACAGCAGAUGUGAAAACCACCUAGCGAAGUUUACAGGUUCCAGAAAAGCUAGUUGCUUCCUAAACUUCAAAGUGCUUCCAGGAAACUAGUUGUGUAUCCUUUAUUAAUAUUUGGAACGUCCAACUCAUGCCUAAUCUACAAAACCAGUGCUUGAGCACCGAGCACGAGUUGGUCUGAAAUGUUUUACUCAAGGAUAUCCUUCACAAAUGUAUGGUCACAGAUCAUAGUAGUUUCUUAGCUAGCUUCUAGUGUUAAUAAAAAUCUAUGGAAUGAAUUAAUCCUGGAGGCCGGUUUCAAGAUGUCACUGUGCAUGAUAUCGUGGCGACCGACAUAGACAGUCAGUAGUCAGAACCGAUGUAUCAACUAGCUAGAAAGAAUACCGUUGGGGUGAAGUUCUAAUUAAUGGAUCAACUAGCUAGAAAGAAUACGGUUGGGGUGAAGUUCUACUUGAUGGAUCAAUUUUUUUUCCUUUUAUCUGUAUUUCAUCUUCUGCAUUUAUGUGCUAACACAAUUCUUACAUUCACUGCACUUUAGAUGUAGAGAACAUAUUGUACGUACGUGUGAGAACAUUGCAGGGAUCAUAUGUGCUUGUAAUGAUAAUAUUUGUUUCCUCUUUUAUAUUGGUUUAAAUUGCUUGUUUCUGCUGGGAAAAA